RNAcentral lists this ribosomal RNA (475 nucleotides) under bacterium BWC16L. RNAcentral's name for it is "bacterial SSU rRNA". It matches the Rfam family "Bacterial small subunit ribosomal RNA", at positions 59 to 514 of the family's 1533-position model. The record is from RNAcentral.
CAGUCGAGCGGAACGAGUUAUCUGAACCUUCGGGGAACGAUAACGGCGUCCAGCGGCGGACGGGUGAGUAAUGCCUAGGAAAUUGCCCUGAUGUGGGGGAUAACCAUUGGAAACGAUGGCUAAUACCGCAUAAUGCCUACGGGCCAAAGAGGGGGACCUUCGGGCCUCUCGCGUCAGGAUAUGCCUAGGUGGGAUUAGCUAGUUGGUGAGGUAAGGGCUCACCAAGGCGACGAUCCCUAGCUGGUCUGAGAGGAUGAUCAGCCACACUGGAACUGAGACACGGUCCAGACUCCUACGGGAGGCAGCAGUGGGGAAUAUUGCACAAUGGGCGCAAGCCUGAUGCAGCCAUGCCGCGUGUGUGAAGAAGGCCUUCGGGUUGUAAAGCACUUUCAGUCGUGAGGAAGGUAGUGUAGUUAAUAGCUGCAUUAUUUGACGUUAGCGACAGAAGAAGCACCGGCUAACUCCGUGCCAGCAG